UCGAGAAGCGAUGUCAGAUGCGAGCAAGACCUGAGCCAACAAGUCUAGUCUCUAUCAACACACACAAAUUUGGAUCCUGAUAUUGCAUCAAUCUUCUAUAAGUUAAGCGGAAGGAUGAUUUCUCCUCUCCUUGCACAUUCUAAAAUACAAUCUUUAUAUUUAAUAUUCAAGGUUCUGCGAUGAGCACCCAGAUGAGCCAACCAAAGCGCCCCCACUUUCCUUCUUCACCUCCUAGUUUUCCCCU
Molecule: long non-coding RNA, 244 nt
Filed under: Elaeis guineensis (African oil palm)
Lineage: Eukaryota; Viridiplantae; Streptophyta; Magnoliopsida; Arecales; Arecaceae
Description: long non-coding RNA (EGUI_LNC023308)
Source: RNAcentral